This 253-nucleotide long non-coding RNA is filed under the name Prunus persica (peach). RNAcentral's name for it is "long non-coding RNA (PPER_LNC005203)". The record is from RNAcentral. Lineage: Eukaryota; Viridiplantae; Streptophyta; Magnoliopsida; Rosales; Rosaceae.
UUCAAGGCCCUAAGCCACUUUAUUUCAUCUUCAUACCCUUUUUCUUUUGAGAUAUUUAAUCAUAUACUUAUUUUUAACAUUAAAAUUAUAAAUAAAAAUCACCGUCCAUGAUAAUAUCCCACCAGGUUCAUACAAGAGGCCACUUAAUUUCAAGGCCUUAACUGCCACUUUAUUUCAUCUUCAUACCCUUUUUCUUUUGAGAUAUUGAGUCAUAUACUUAUUCUUAGCACUAAAACUAUAAAUAAACCCUAUA